CUCCGGCACCACACGAGCAGCCCGAGCGCCAGCAGCACCCAGCUGAAGCUCAGGCCCAGGCUAGCACAGUGCCUGGAAGAGCAGGUACUGAAUGAAUAACACACGUCUCUUCUCCCCUUAUCUUCAGGUCCGAAUGGAAUUACAGACUUACUCUCCCCACCACGGAGGAGGCAGUGGCAAGUAGAUUCUUCAGCCUGGUUAUAUUAGCAAAUAGAUGCAUACAUUGACGAUAAUGAAAGUCAGCUUUCUUGCUGUUGGAGAAGAUCUUACAAGCAUGGAAACGGAGAGGCCAGAAAGAACCUUGAUGUGAUGGAUUGGACUCAGAGGAGGAACCAGAGAUCUCUGGAAAAAUAGUUGACUUCAGGGCUGGAGCAGUGAAAAUACAAGAUAAGCCUGGAAUAUUUUGUUGUGCCAGGAGGUAAGAAAAUGCUCAAAGAAUCACGUAAUGUCAAAGGACAUGGGAGGCAACUUGAAGGGCUCUUGCUGAUUAAGUCUGGGACUAUCUGAGCAGCAGAAUCAAUGACAUUGGCAGAUUACAAGCCAGGGAGUAAAAUAGGAACCCAUGAGCCCACACUGAUGUAGAUGAAUGAGCGAGUGAUGAAUGCACAAAAAAAUAAGCCACUGGAGUCAAAGAAAUGGAAAUCCCCACUUAGCAGUCAUUGUAGCAUAAGAGUGAGUUAUCAACGGAGGCUAAGGACGGUAGGUGAGGUUUGAUAAGGAAUCAUGCUAGAAUACCUUCUACAAGAUACUUACCAAUUUAAGGGAAAGAGGAGCACAGCAGCAUUUCUGGGACAUUUUGCCAGAGAGCUUGAGAAAGCUUGACCCGAGUAUAGGGACUCGGGGGACAGAUGCCAUGUAGGGUCCCCAUGUUCUUACUGAGGACUUAGUUAUUCCAGAUUGCAAGAGACUGAAGAGCCACAACAACCACAUGCAACGUGUGUUCCUGUGUGGGAUCUGGGCUUUGGGGACAAUCUGUGGAACAAAGGGGUCUUUCGUUUGGACAGUAGAGUUGCAUCCAUGUUGACUUCCUGACUGGAGGAGGGUUGUGGAGCGGAGGCUGUCCCUGUUUUGGGGAAACAAACACUGGAGUGUUUCGGAGUGAUGAGUAAUCAUACCUGAAGUUCUUUGUCAAAGAAUUCAGGACAAGUCUAAUGAUCACAGGUAAGUGUGUGUGUAGACAGGUAAAUAACUGCUGGGUGACAGACAAGUGGAGCACGUGCUGGGUGGUUCGUGGUGGGAAUCUGGGCAACGAAUGGAGUGCUGUGUACUUGCAUAUUUUCUCUAAGUUUGAAAUUAAUUUGAAAGUCAUUUUUUAAAGUCCAUGAUCAAAUGGCCAAUUCAAAAUGCGGAUUUGAUUGAAUCUCUUCUGCGCUUGGUUUCCUUUGCUCCUAUUCAUGACAAACAGAGCUUGCCACACUUGACCCUCCUUCUUGCCUCGCCUCCCGACCUAGGGUCUGCACUGCUGCUCAUCCCUGCCAUACCCCGCUGUCACCUGUCUGUGCCUGUAUACCUGCUGUUCUCUGAGUCCGGACUACCCUUCUCUCUCUGUCCAUAUGCAAAACUCCGGUUCAUCUUUCAAAAAACAAUUUGUAUAUCCCCACCUCUGGGAAAAUUUUGUGAUAUUUCCCUCCUCGUGUUAAUCCUGUCUGUACCUUAUGCUCAUGAUUACACUUUUCUGCUGUAUACUGCUCAGCCCUUAGGAGCCUGGAGGCAGCUCUGUGCAUGUGACGGGGAGCCCUGAUAUUCUUGGGGGAAGUCCAAAUGAGGUGGUACAUAUUAGAACCCGCAACUGAAGCCAUCUAUCAAGUCACAAGCCCCAUGUCGGUUUCUGUCGCUAUUGAAGAUGAUAUUUGCGUGGCCUCACUGGGUCCUCCGCUCAGGUCUCAUGAGGUGAAACCAAGUGUUGGCUGAGCUGUGGCCUCCUCUGGAGACCUUCAGCUGAGACUCCUCCCAAGUUCAUUCAGGGUGUUGGCAGAUUUCAGUUCAGUGCAGCUGUAGGGCUCAAGUCCCUGAUUUCUGCCAGCUGGCAGCCAGGAGUCACCUUCUGUGUCUCCCACUUGCCCCUCCUUCGACCCCUCCUAGUGUGGUAGUUUGCUUCUUCUUCCAGGACAGUAGGAGUGUUUCUCAGAUGUAUCACCUUCUUUGGAAGUCAGGCCCACUCACGAAAACCUCCCUUUUGACCAAUUAGUCAACUGAUCAGUAACCUGACCAUAGGAGUAGAUCCCAUCACAU
Long non-coding RNA from Lynx canadensis (Canada lynx), 2232 nucleotides. RefSeq lists it as uncharacterized. Lineage: Eukaryota; Metazoa; Chordata; Mammalia; Carnivora; Felidae. The transcript has 4 exons. The record is from RefSeq and is a predicted model, not a curated record.